This 114-nucleotide ribosomal RNA is filed under the name uncultured bacterium. Its description in RNAcentral is "partial 16S ribosomal RNA". It matches the Rfam family "Bacterial small subunit ribosomal RNA", at positions 1360 to 1482 of the family's 1533-position model. The record is from RNAcentral.
CGGUGAAUACGUUCCCGGACCUUGUACACACCGCCCGUCAAGCCAUGGAAGCUGGGUGUACCUAAAGUCGGUAACCGCAAGGAGCCGCCUAGGGUAAAACUAGUGACUGGGGCU